RNAcentral lists this unclassified non-coding RNA (336 nucleotides) under soil metagenome. Its description in RNAcentral is "partial contains 5.8S ribosomal RNA, internal transcribed spacer 2, and large subunit ribosomal RNA". The stretch from base 1 to 120 matches the Rfam family "5.8S ribosomal RNA", at positions 35 to 154 of the family's 154-position model. The record is from RNAcentral.
GAUGAAGAACGUAGCGAAAUGCGAUAAGUAAAGUGAAUUGCAGAAUUCAGUGAAUCAUCGAAUCUUUGAACGCACAUUGCGCCCGCCAGUAUUCUGGCGGGCAUGCCUGUUCGAGCGUCAUUUCAACCAUCAAGCCCCCGGCUUGUGUUGGGGACCUGCGGCUGCCGCAGGCCCUGAAAAGCAGUGGCGGGCUCGCUGUCACACCGAGCGUAGUAGCAUACAUCUCGCUCUGGGCGUGCUGCGGGUUCCGGCCGUUAAACCACCUUCAUAACCCAAGGUUGACCUCGGAUCAGGUAGGAAGACCCGCUGAACUUAAGCAUAUCAAUAAGCGGAGGA